Molecule: long non-coding RNA, 1119 nt
Organism: Carassius gibelio (silver crucian carp)
Lineage: Eukaryota; Metazoa; Chordata; Actinopteri; Cypriniformes; Cyprinidae
Exons: 2
Source: RefSeq, a predicted model, not a curated record
GCCGCGUUUCCACCGCAGGAACUUUACCCAGGAACUAGGGACUUGGUCCGGUACUUGGUGUGUUUCCACCGCAGGAACCAGGAACUAAAUAAAAGUUCCGGGUAAAAAAAUGCCCCCCAGAAAGUCCCUGCUGGCGAGGUGGUACUUUUUUAAAGUUCAGGAACUUUCGGGGGCGGGACUUUGGCGCUAAACAUCCUGAUUGGUUGAGUUGACGCAGCAUUGGUUGAGUUCAACCACCAUUUAUUCGGAUCAACAUUUUCAAAAUAUUACUGUUAUUGUGUCAUGAAAUGUAAUUUUAAAAGUAUUUCAGGCGAGAAUGUAGUUGUUUAAAACUCAAAUCUGUUGUUUAUUUAUAAAGACAGCGCCUAUUUAAAAAUGUGUUUCGCCGAUCUCUGAGACGGUGAGCUCCACACGAUCAGGGAGAGCUCAGUGAUCAUCUAUCCGCCCAGAGGCAGCCUCACCUUGGAUAGACCUUCUGAUAUGUGCCGCUGGCUCUGAUGUGUCUUUAGUGGUUAAACAUAACAUAUAAUUCAGCUGCGGGGUAAAUCUAACAGGUUUUCUUUGGUCUGUAUUCAAUUUAUCUAUAUGUUAAAAUGAAAAUAAAAAAGGCAAAUUUAUAUAAUAUUUCGUUUCAUUGUAAUGGCUGCAUAUACACAUAUCCCUGAACUAAGUACAUUUCUGCAGCUGUUAUUAUGCUUAAAUGAAAACCAAAGGAGGCAGUUGUAUUUUAUAUCCCAUUUCGUUUUAUUGUAAAUAGGAAAAUUGCAGUAGCCAAGACGAGCUGACUGAAGUUAUCAAGUGCUGCUGUUUAUAGAUUUACCGGACUUGCGUCGUCGCGGACAUCACACUCCCGAGUCGAAUGCACAAAGUCUGAACUAACUACCGAGGAUGCACGUCCAAAAUCAGCGUACUUUAAAAAAACAAACAAAUCAGCAGUACUUUGUAUUGAGAAACGCGCGCAGACCUACGUCACCAGUCUAUUUGCCUAAUCUACCCGGUACUUUACACCGCGGUGGAAACGCAGAAAGCAACAGGUCUGGGGGGAAAAAAGUUCCUGGGAAAAAAAGUUCCUGGUAAAAAUGUUCCGGGUAAUUUCGGUGGAAACGCGGCAUAUGUGUU